GAGGGUGUUAUAAGACUUGCUAACUCUUUAACCUGGAACCAA
This 42-nucleotide transfer RNA is filed under the name Senticolis triaspis. Its description in RNAcentral is "partial tRNA-Ser". Lineage: Eukaryota; Metazoa; Chordata; Lepidosauria; Squamata; Colubridae. The record is from RNAcentral.